Non-coding RNA from Salmo salar (Atlantic salmon), 372 nucleotides. The record is from RefSeq and is a predicted model, not a curated record. NCBI's taxonomy places the organism in Eukaryota, Metazoa, Chordata, Actinopteri, Salmoniformes, Salmonidae.
GGCCAUGUCAUUCAGGUAUGCUGUAACAUCAUAUUGGGCCAUACAUACAGCCUAUGGGCCAUGUCAUUCAGGUAUGCUGUAACAUCAUAUUGGGCCAUACAUACAGCCUAUGGGCCAUGUCAUUCAGGUAUGCUGUAACAUCAUAUUGGGCCAUACAUACAGCCUAUGGGCCAUGUCAUUCAGGUAUGCUGUAACAUCAUAUUGGGCCAUACAUACAGCCUAUGGGCCAUGUCAUUCAGGUAUGCUGUAACAUCAUAUUGGGCCAUACAUACAGCCUAUGGGCCAUGUCAUUCAGGUAUGCUGUAACAUCAUAUUGGGCCAUACAUACAGCCUAUGGGCCAUGUCAUUCAGGUAUGCUGUAACAUCAUAUUG